This 250-nucleotide ribosomal RNA is filed under the name uncultured prokaryote. RNAcentral describes it as "partial 16S ribosomal RNA". It matches the Rfam family "Bacterial small subunit ribosomal RNA", at positions 524 to 773 of the family's 1533-position model. The record is from RNAcentral.
UACGUAGGGGGCGAGCGUUGUUCGGAAUUACUGGGCGUAAAGGGUGUGUAGGCGGUUAGAUAAGAUAGCGGUGAAAUCCCGGGGCUCAACCUCGGAAUUGCCAUUAUUACUAUAUAACUAGAAUGACAGAGAGGAUAUUGGAAUACCCAGUGUAGAGGUGAAAUUCGUAGAUAUUGGGUAGAACACCGGUGGCGAAGGCGAGUACCUGGCUGUAAAUUGACGCUGAGGCACGAAAGCAUGGGGAUCAAAC